This 490-nucleotide ribosomal RNA is filed under the name uncultured soil bacterium. RNAcentral's name for it is "bacterial SSU rRNA". It matches the Rfam family "Bacterial small subunit ribosomal RNA", at positions 26 to 523 of the family's 1533-position model. The record is from RNAcentral.
AGAUUGAACGCUGGCGGCAUGCCUUACACAUGCAAGUCGAACGCGAAAGCGGGGCAACCCGCAAGUAGAGUGGCGAACGGGUGAGUAAUACAUCGGAACGUAUCCAGUAGCGGGGGAUAACCUGUCGAAAGAUAGGCUAAUACCGCAUACGAUCUACGGAUGAAAGCGGGGGACCGCAAGGCCUCGCACUAUUGGAGCGGCCGAUGUCGGAUUAGCUAGUUGGUGGGUAAAGGCUUACCAAGGCAACGAUCCGUAGCUGGUCUGAGAGGACGAUCAGCCACACUGGAACUGAGACACGGUCCAGACUCCUACGGGAGGCAGCAGUGGGAAUUUGGACAAUGGGCGCAAGCCUGGACCCAGCCAUGCCGCGUGAGUGAAGAAGGCCUUCGGGUGUAAGCUCUUCGGUGGAGACGAAACGGUUCGUAGUAAUAACACGACUACUGACGUACCACAGAAGAAGCACGCAACUACGUGCCAGCAGCCGACGUAA